UAUGAAUUUCAGAAUGUUCCG
This 21-nucleotide non-coding RNA is filed under the name Caenorhabditis elegans. The record is from RNAcentral. Lineage: Eukaryota; Metazoa; Nematoda; Chromadorea; Rhabditida; Rhabditidae.